GGAAACUUCAUUACAAAGAUUAGCUAAAAUGAAUUGGAACCAAGUUUGCUAACCAGUCACAAACAAUAUGGAUUACAAAUGUUUCCACAGUUUGAAUGGAAUAUCUUCUAUUUUACAUCUACCAAGGAUCUCUACCUUGGAUAUCUUACAAAAUUUGUGCAGUAUAGGUGACAUCUGCAUCAAUAACCCAAGCAUCCUUGGCUCCAACACAUUUGAGCCUUCUCAAGGGAAACUUAUAUCACCUAGAAUUAUCCUGCUUUUACAUUUUUUGAUUCCGGAAUAGACAUCAUUCUAUUCAUCCGAGACAUGUUCAGAAAGGUACCAGAAAGAACAAAGGAAAAGCCACAAGUAGAUAUUGAGUCCACCGGUAACUCCUUUGAGGGGAUGAAGAUGUAGACUUGGAAGGACCAACGGUUGCAUUAUUAAAGAUAGCUUUUUUACCCCCAGUCGUCGCAUAGAGACAGUUAUCAUAACUUGGAUUCUUGUUUGUUCUAACGCCAACUCCUCCAAAAGUGCAAGCAAUGUCAGUAGCUCCAUUUUGCUGGUAGUAACUGUUGAAUGCAAAAGAAGCAUGUGAUGCAAGGUUAUCAGGCUCGAAACAUGGUUGGCUAGGUUGUAUAGCGGAGCAGUCUACAUUUCCAGAACCACAAGCCCAACUCAAGGCAUUCUGAAGUUCAGCUUCAGAUGCAGAAGAUGAAGCAAUGCACCACGUUCCAUUUGAACCGGUAUUGUUUCCACCUGCAGUCGUGUCUACAACACCCUUACCGGUAAAAUCAA
This 777-nucleotide unclassified non-coding RNA is filed under the name Hevea brasiliensis (rubber tree). Lineage: Eukaryota; Viridiplantae; Streptophyta; Magnoliopsida; Malpighiales; Euphorbiaceae. The record is from RNAcentral.